Molecule: long non-coding RNA, 213 nt
Organism: Physeter macrocephalus (sperm whale)
Lineage: Eukaryota; Metazoa; Chordata; Mammalia; Artiodactyla; Physeteridae
Exons: 4
Source: RefSeq, a predicted model, not a curated record
CUUUGAGGCUGGCAGAAUGAUGGAGAAGUGAUACUGAUUGUGUGAAAGCAACCCCUUCAGCCAACUCCUGUCUUCCUGGGAAGGCCCCUGGGAGAAACAGCUGAAGUUGAAGCGGAAGAGUUCGAAUGCCUUGCCGAGACCAUUCUGCUGGAGGAACACAGCUUCAGGCCUACUGGUUUCACAUCAAAUUCUUGACUGAUGACCUUGCUUCCU